GGGCCCUUAGCUCAGCCUGGCUAGAGCGCUUCCCCGACACGGAAGAGGUCGUUGGUUCAAGUCCAACAGGGCCCACGA
RNAcentral lists this transfer RNA (78 nucleotides) under Acidimicrobiia bacterium. RNAcentral describes it as "tRNA-Val". It matches the Rfam family "tRNA". From Rfam's summary of the family: Transfer RNA (tRNA) molecules are approximately 80 nucleotides in length. Their secondary structure includes four short double-helical elements and three loops (D, anti-codon, and T loops). Further hydrogen bonds mediate the characteristic L-shaped molecular structure. tRNAs have two regions of fundamental functional importance: the anti-codon, which is responsible for specific mRNA codon recognition, and the 3' end, to which the tRNAs corresponding amino acid is attached (by aminoacyl-tRNA synthetases). tRNAs cope with the degeneracy of the genetic code in two manners: having more than one tRNA (with a specific anti-codon) for a particular amino acid; and 'wobble' base-pairing, i.e. permitting non-standard base-pairing at the 3rd anti-codon position. The record is from RNAcentral. Lineage: Bacteria; Bacillati; Actinomycetota; Acidimicrobiia.